CUACGGAGGAUGCGAGCGUUAUCCGGAUUUAUUGGGUUUAAAGGGAGCGUAGGUGGGAUAUUAAGUCAGCUGUGAAAGUUUGGGGCUCAACCUUAAAAUUGCAGUUGAUACUGGUUUCCUUGAGUACGGUACAGGUGGGCGGAAUUCGUGGUGUAGCGGUGGAAUGCUUAGAUAUCACGAAGAACUCCGAUCGCGAAGGCAGCUCACCGGGCCGGAACUGACACUGAUGCUCGAAAGUGCGGGUAUCAAACAGGAUUAGAUACCCUGGUAGUCCGCACAGUAAACGAUGAAUACUCGCUGUUUGCGAUACACGGUAAGCGGCCAAGCGAAAGCGUUAAGUAUUCCACCUGGGGAGUACGCCGGCAACGGUGAAACUCAAAGGAAUUGACGGGG
RNAcentral lists this ribosomal RNA (393 nucleotides) under uncultured bacterium. RNAcentral's name for it is "partial 16S ribosomal RNA". It matches the Rfam family "Bacterial small subunit ribosomal RNA", at positions 523 to 918 of the family's 1533-position model. The record is from RNAcentral.